Molecule: ribosomal RNA, 275 nt
Filed under: uncultured bacterium
Lineage: Bacteria
Description: partial 16S ribosomal RNA
Rfam family: Bacterial small subunit ribosomal RNA
Source: RNAcentral
UACGGAGGGUGCGAGCGUUGUUCGGAAUUAUUGGGCGUAAAGCGCGCGUAGGCGGCUUCUUAAGUCUCGCUGUGAAAGCCCGGGGCUCAACCCCGCGGACUGCAGGGGAUACUGGGGAGCUGGAGACAGGUAGAGGCUAACGGAAUUCCGGGUGUAGCGGUGGAAUGCGUAGAGAUCCGGAAGAACACCAGAGGCGAAGGCGGUUAGCUGGACCUGGUCUGACGCUGAGGCGCGAAAGCGUGGGGAGCGAACAGGAUUAGAAACCCCCGUAGUCC